Molecule: unclassified non-coding RNA, 181 nt
Filed under: uncultured Penicillium
Lineage: Eukaryota; Fungi; Ascomycota; Eurotiomycetes; Eurotiales; Aspergillaceae
Description: sequence contains ITS1
Source: RNAcentral
CCGAGUGUCGGGCCCUCCUGGGUCCACCCUCCCACCCGUGUCUACCGUCCCUUGUUGCUUCGGCGGGCCCGCCCUCUGGGGCGGCCGGGGGGCCCUCGCGCCCCCGGGUUCGCGCCCGCCGGAGACGUCCACGCGAACACUGUGUCAAGGUUGCCGUCUGAGUGGAUUUAUCCAAUCGUUA